RNAcentral lists this ribosomal RNA (363 nucleotides) under uncultured bacterium. RNAcentral's name for it is "bacterial SSU rRNA". It matches the Rfam family "Bacterial small subunit ribosomal RNA", at positions 72 to 422 of the family's 1533-position model. The record is from RNAcentral.
AAGUCCCGCAAGGGAUCAGUAGAGUGGCAAACGGGUGAGUAACACGUGGGUGACCUGCCUUCGAGUGGGGGAUAACGUCCCGAAAGGGACGCUAAUACCGCAUGACAUCCUGCCUUUGAAGAGGUGGAGCUUAAAGCUGGGGAUCGCAAGACCUAGCGCUUGAAGAGGGGCCCGCGUCUGAUUAGCUAGUUGGUGAGGUAACGGCUCACCAAGGCUUUGACGGGUAGCUGGUCUGAGAGGACGACCAGCCACACUGGGACUGAGACACGGCCCAGACACCUACGGGUGGCAGCAGUCGAGAAUUUUUGACAAUGGGGGAAACCCUGAUCGAGCGACGCCGCGUGGAGGAUGAAGGUCUUCGGA